This 429-nucleotide ribosomal RNA is filed under the name Pseudomonadota bacterium. RNAcentral's name for it is "Proteobacteria bacterium partial 16S ribosomal RNA". It matches the Rfam family "Bacterial small subunit ribosomal RNA", at positions 355 to 776 of the family's 1533-position model. Lineage: Bacteria; Pseudomonadati; Pseudomonadota. The record is from RNAcentral.
UGGGGAAUAUUGGACAAUGGGCGAAAGCCUGAUCCAGCCAUGCCGCGUGUGUGAAGAAGGUCUUCGGAUUGUAAAGCACUUUAAGUUGGGAGGAAGGGCAGUAAGCGAAUACCUUGCUGUUUUGACGUUACCGACAGAAUAAGCACCGGCUAACUCUGUGCCAGCAGCCGCGGUAAUACAGAGGGUGCAAGCGUUAAUCGGAAUUACUGGGCGUAAAGCGCGCGUAGGUGGUUCGUUAAGUUGAAUGUGAAAGCCCCGGGCUCAACCUGGGAACUGCAUCCAAAACUGGCGAGCUAGAGUAGGGCAGAGGGUGGUGGAAUUUCCUGUGUAGCGGUGAAAUGCGUAGAUAUAGGAAGGAAAACCAGGGGCGAAGGCGACCACCUGGGCUCAUACUGACACUGAGGUGCGAAAGCGUGGGGAGCAAACAGG